AGUUCGAUUAUGGCUCAGAUUGAACGCUGGCGGGAUGCUUUACAUGCAAGUCGAACGGCAGCACGGACUUCGGUCUGGUGGCGAGUGGCGAACGGGUGAGUAAUGUAUCGGAACGCCUAGUAGCGGGGGAUAACUACGCGAAAGCGUAGGCCAUCACCGCAUACGCCCUUCGGGGAAAGCGGGGGACCUUCGGGCCUCGCACUAUUAGAGCGGCCGAUAUCGGAUUAGCUAGUUGGUGGGGUAACGGCUCACUACAGGACGAUCCGUAGCCGGUUUGAGAGGACGACCAGCCACACUGGGACUGAGAGCAUGGCCCAGACUCCUACGGGAGGCAGCAGUGGGGAAUUUGACAAUGGGGGAAACCCUGAUCCAGCCAUCCCGCGUGUGCGAUGAAGGCUCGGGUUGUAAAGCACUUUUGGCAGGAAAGAAAACGGCACGGGAUAAUACUCCCGUGCAACUGACGGUACCUGCAGAAUAAGCACCGGCUAACUACGUGCCAGCAGCCGCGUGGUUACUGCAGGGUGCAAGCGUUAAUCGGAAUUACUGGGCGUAAAGCGUGCGCAGGCGGUUCGGAAAGAAAGAUGAAAUCCCAGAGCUUAACUGGAACUGCAUUUUGGAACAAUGGUUUUGAGGUGUCAGAGGAGGUGGAAUUCUGCGUGUAGCAGAAAUGCGUAGAUAUGCGGAGAACAACUGAUGGCGAAGGCAGCCUCCUGGGAUAACACUGACGCUCAUGCACGAAAGCGUGGGGAGCAAACAGGAUUAGAUACCCUGGUAGUCCACGCCCUAAACGAUGUCAACUAGCCGUUGGGGCUCUCGGGCCUUAGUAGCAGCUAACGCGUGAAGUUGACCGCCUGGGAGUACGGUCGCAAGAUUAAACUCAAAGGAAUUGACGGGGACUCGCAAUAAGCGGUGGUGGAUGAUGUGGAUUAAUUCGAUACAACGCGAAAACCUUACCUACCCUCGUGACAUGUCUGGAAUCCCGAAGAGAUUUGACGUUUCGCGAGAACCCAUCACAGGUAUGUGCUGGCUGUCGUCAGCUCGUGUCGUGAGAUGUUGGGUUAAGUCCUGCAACGAGUGCAACUCCUGUCAUUAGUUGCUACGAAAGGGUAAUUUUAUCGCAGACGCUGCACAACCGAGGCGUGGAGAUGACGUCAAGUCCUCAUGGCCCUUAUGGGUAGGGCUUCACACGUCAUACAAUGGUCGGGACAGAGGGUCGCCAACCCGCGAGGGGGAGCCAAUCCCAGAAACCCGAUCGUAGUCCGGAUCGCAGUCUGCAACUCGACUGCGUGAAGUCGGAAUCGCUAGUAAUCGCGAUCAGCAUGUCGCGGUGAAUACAUGUUCCCGGUCUUGUACAGACCUGCCGUCACAUCGGCGGCCUUGCCCGGUAUGAAGAACAACCAAGAGUAAGAGCUUACCACGGCAGACUGGCGACCGAAGUCGUAACAAUGUAG
This 1451-nucleotide ribosomal RNA is filed under the name uncultured Bordetella sp. RNAcentral describes it as "partial 16S-23S ribosomal RNA intergenic spacer". It matches the Rfam family "Bacterial small subunit ribosomal RNA". The record is from RNAcentral. Lineage: Bacteria; Pseudomonadati; Pseudomonadota; Betaproteobacteria; Burkholderiales; Alcaligenaceae.